This 103-nucleotide transfer RNA is filed under the name Candidatus Wukongarchaeota archaeon. Its description in RNAcentral is "tRNA-Asp". The record is from RNAcentral. Lineage: Archaea; Promethearchaeati; Candidatus Wukongarchaeota.
GCCUCGGUAGUGUAGCCAGGCCUAUCAUCGCUAACGGUGAAGGAUCGUUAGGGAGAGUGGGUCUGUCAGACCCAGGACCCGGGUUCAAAUCCCGGCCGAGGCG